This 384-nucleotide long non-coding RNA is filed under the name Androctonus crassicauda. Lineage: Eukaryota; Metazoa; Arthropoda; Arachnida; Scorpiones; Buthidae. The record is from RNAcentral.
CAGCUUUAGACUGAUGUUUCCAGUGAAUUAUCACUUCUGUUAUGCGGUUUUUAAUAUCGUGUAUUUUAAUAUUUUAAAUAGAAUAUCGUGAUAUAUAUUUAAAUUUUGUUGUCGGUUUUUUCUUUAUUAUGACAAAUCUUGCGGAAAAAUUAAGUGAGCUAAUAAAUCCAGCACCUACAUCGUUAGAACUUGAAGAUAAUACUGAUUUUGAUACAAAAGCUAAAGUUGUUGAUAAAUAUGUGGAAGAUAAUAUACCAGUAUACCGUAGUCAAUUGAGGAAACAAAAUAUUCAAUUAGGUUCAAGAUAUGCUGGGAAAAAAGUAUCCCGAAAAGAGCUCUUAGAAGAAAGUUCAGAAUCAGGUAAGAUAAUUAUUUAGUUUUGAG